Athalia rosae (coleseed sawfly) is the source of this 600-nucleotide long non-coding RNA. RefSeq lists it as uncharacterized. The transcript has 3 exons. NCBI's taxonomy places the organism in Eukaryota, Metazoa, Arthropoda, Insecta, Hymenoptera, Athaliidae. The record is from RefSeq and is a predicted model, not a curated record.
UCAUACCAUAAGCUAAAGUUUUUGGGGGGCUGAACAAUGAGAUACAAACCUCCAGCAAGGAGGGUACGGAAACCGACGAAGGAGGGGUAGCCGGGCGGUUGGCCGUCACCGCUCUUUUACACAGGUUCCAAGAGGUGCUGCGACGUUACAUCGAGGACGAGAGACGCAGCGGUAAAUGCCCUCUGCCAAGAUACAGAUUGUCGGAAAUAUCAUUCGUAUUGAAAGCGGUAGCUACCCUGGUGGUGUCCUUGAAAAAGGCUCCCCCUAACAAGGUCGAUCGAUCGGUCUGGGAGCAACUGAUAGGCUUGUAUCCCUAUCUGGUCGAAUGUACCGUGGCCACGGCUUCGGGCCAGGUUUCACGUUCCCUGCGAGAAGCUCUGCUCCAGUACCACGAUCUGCUGCGAUCACCCACCAGUAAUUUACCAACGACAAACGGCGUUUGACCGGCAAACUCCUUUGGGAAUAACGAUCGUCGGGAUACCUAUUCGUAUUUGUACACGGAGUGAGUAUAAAUUCUUUACUUGAAUAUCGCCUAUCAACGAACAUUCCUAAAAGUGCGAAUUAGAAUACGAUGUUGAUUUUUAUCACACGGUUUGUUAA